Molecule: long non-coding RNA, 1839 nt
Organism: Homo sapiens (human)
Lineage: Eukaryota; Metazoa; Chordata; Mammalia; Primates; Hominidae
Exons: 4
Source: RefSeq, a predicted model, not a curated record
GUUGUUAGCCCAGGUGACCUGGAAGGGGUUGGGGUUGGCAUGGUGGAGGGAAAGUUGGAUCGGGAAGCAAAAAUGGAAGAGGAAGCAAAAUGGACGUCACUAAAAUCCUGAACAGUAUCAUGAUAUAAUGAUGUAUACACAGUUCCCGAAGCUUACAUACAUGUGCAUAUAAAGGGAAAUUUUAAAAAGAAAAUUAAAAGAAAAAGCCCCAGAUUCCCUUCUCAGAAAACCACAAUUUCCCAUUGAAUUCUGAUGGGUUAGAUACCCCUAAAGGUCACGUGUGGCUCCACCCCGGAGUUGAGCAUAUCUGCUGUAGACCUUGGAUUUGUCUGGUCUACAAUGUGAUGUCUUCUAAUCUGAGGAACAGUUUUCCCAUCUGCAUAAGGGCACCUGCCUCACAGAGCAGCUUUGGGUCUCGUAAACGGACGGCACAUGUGAGUUUACUGCCAGGCAGUCCUCAGUCUGUGCACGUCACAGUCCACUUUGGAACUCCUAAGAAUGCUGUCUCCUCCCACCCUAGACGUCCUCACACAGAAUCUGUGAGGGGCUGGCCUAGGCAGAAUUAUCUUUUAAAAACUUUGCAUAUGAGGUGCUUGAUAAAAGCUAGUUGGAUUUGAAUUUGGCCACAGCUCAGAUAAUCUGGGGAACUGGGGUGUCUGCUAAGGAUAUGUGACCAUCUGCUGGUGUAAACCUUUCAGAUGAUGGGGAAGCCGGGCAUCACGGAGAGCUGAGAAGACUCGCUUGUUCACACUUACUCGAAAGCAGAAGAGGCCUGGGAACUUCAGCUGGCGACUCUGGUGUUUCUGACUUUGGCUAUCAGCAAACACUGCUGGAGGCUCUGCCCCGUCCACACCCAGCUUCUGUGAGCACGGAGGAGGCAUAAUCUGCAAAGUCUGACACAGGCCAUGCCUAACCAUCCUUGACUGGCUACCUCCAGUGACAUAAAACUGAGAAGCAAAGACACCCAGGAGGCAAGGCUGCAGUCAUUUAGGAGAGUGGACGGAUGCCAGGGCUGUGCUGCCUGCAGCCUUUGUGGGGCUCAGUGACCAGAGGAGCAGCCCAUGCCAAGCCUAGUCCCCAGGGAUGCUGCCUGCGGUGCUCACGCAUCUUAUACAGGGACACAGAGGAACUCUGGGCUCCACCCUGCAGCCUCUGCUCCAGCACGCGGUGGUCCCAGGAGAUGUAGAACCAGCCCUUCCUCUGCAGUUGCACUGGGACUGGACCUCACUGUGGGAACAACAAGAUCAACAAGAGGAGCAAGAACAACAUCAAGAGUUGGGGCCUGGGGGUCCUGACGGGUACAGGAUGGGUACAGACCCACACAGGAAUCCCAGAGUGUGUUCCACAGCAGGACACGCCUGCGCUGAAAGAGUGGGCAGAAAGGAGCUGACCUGGGAGUUGGAGCUCAUGCUGGACUUCAUGACUCACUCUUAACCAGCAGGACAUGGAGAGGAAAACAGUCACUCUCCCGUGGGGAGACCUGGCAGGCCUCACCUUGGCCGUGUGAUCAAGGUCCAGACCACCAGUGAUGAGGCAUGUUGACAUCGUGGCCCCUGAGAGCACGUGAUGAGAAGAGCGCUCCACCUCCGCCGUGUUCUUCCGCAAACGCACAGUUCCAAUGUAAUCAGAGAGAACAUCACACACACACCAAUUGAGGGGCAUCUUGCAGAAUACCUGAGCAGUACUCUGCAAAGCUGUCAAGGCGGUGAAACGAAGACAGGCCAGGAAAGGGUCACCGGUGCAGGGGACUAAGGAGGCGUGAGGGCCAGUGCAGCCUGGGGUCCUGGACGUGAGCUGCUGAGACGGCACCCGCGUGAGUGUCGCAGUUUCCACACCGUG